GCAUCAUAGUUGAGGCAUAGGAUUAACUAGGCCUACAUCAUUUUUCAGCAUUCAACAUUGUUUAUUUGAAAUAUCCAUCCCUCAUCACUGCUGUGACAAUGGAGUUCCAGAGCUGCAAAGACAAAGCACUCGUCACCCAUCUAAGGUCUGUAUGUGACCAUCUGGAAAAGACAUGGGAACAAAUAGGUUGUAGGGGCAACUGGAGUCUCUCUCUCUCUCUCUCUCUCUCAAAUGCCUCCCAGACCUGGUGGUGUCUGUGACAGGCCCUCUCCUGGUGAGCUAGCUUCCAUGAUGAAUGGCCACCUUUCCACUCUUUAUCGCCCCACUAAAUCAUGCGCUUACCAUGCUUUUAUGACCAAUUGUCACUGCUUUGUUUUACUUUCCCCCCCAUUUUUUUGACCGAAAGUCCAAAGGCUGUGGCUUCAUUUUUUUCUUAUGUGUAUCACAUUAAUCUUUGAGGGUUUAUCAUUGCAUUGGUAUUCAGUUGGAGAUUUGAGAGCUACCUUUGUUAAUAAAAUUCACUGAGACAAA
Micropterus salmoides (largemouth bass) is the source of this 531-nucleotide long non-coding RNA. RefSeq lists it as uncharacterized. The transcript is spliced from 2 exons. NCBI's taxonomy places the organism in Eukaryota, Metazoa, Chordata, Actinopteri, Centrarchiformes, Centrarchidae. The record is from RefSeq and is a predicted model, not a curated record.